RNAcentral lists this ribosomal RNA (480 nucleotides) under uncultured bacterium. RNAcentral describes it as "partial 16S ribosomal RNA". It matches the Rfam family "Bacterial small subunit ribosomal RNA", at positions 28 to 523 of the family's 1533-position model. The record is from RNAcentral.
GACGAACGCUGGCGGCGUGCUUAACACAUGCAAGUCGAACGGUAAGGCCCUUUCGGGGGUACACGAGUGGCGAACGGGUGAGUAACACGUGGGUGAUCUGCCCUGCACUUCGGGCUAAGCCUGGGGAACUGGGUCUAAUCCCGGAUAGGACCACUGCCUGCAUGGGCGGUGGUGGAAAGCUUUUGCGGUGUGGGAUGGGUCCGCGGCCUAUCAGCUUGUUGGUGGGGUGAUGGCAUACCAAGGCGACGACGGGUAGCCGGCCUGGGAGGGUGACCGGCCACACUGGGACUGAGAUACGGCCCAGACUCCUACGGGAGGCAGCAGUGGGGAAUAUUGCACAAUGGGCGCAAGCCUGAUGCAGCGACGCCGCGUGAGGGAUGACGGCCUUCGGGUUGUAAACCUCUUUCAGCACCGACGAAGCGCAAGUGACGGUAGGUGCAGAAGAAGGACCGGCCAACUACGUGCCAGCAGCCGCCGUAA